This 253-nucleotide ribosomal RNA is filed under the name uncultured bacterium. RNAcentral describes it as "partial 16S ribosomal RNA". It matches the Rfam family "Bacterial small subunit ribosomal RNA", at positions 524 to 776 of the family's 1533-position model. The record is from RNAcentral.
UACGUAGGGUGCAAGCGUUAUCCGGAAUUAUUGGGCGUAAAGAGCUCGUAGGCGGUUUGUCGCGUCUGCUGUGAAAACCGGAGGCUCAACCUCCGGCCUGCAGUGGGUACGGGCAGACUAGAGUUCGGUAGGGGAGACUGGAAUUCCUGGUGUAGCGGUGAAAUGCGCAGAUAUCAGGAGGAACACCGGUGGCGAAGGCGGGUCUCUGGGCCGAUACUGACGCUGAGGAGCGAAAGCGUGGGGAGCGAACAGG